ACGCCCGUAGCUUAGUUGGAUAGAGCAGCGGACUUCUAAUCCGCAGGUCGCAGGUUCGAGUCCUGCCGGGCGUGC
This 75-nucleotide transfer RNA is filed under the name Aeoliella mucimassa. Its description in RNAcentral is "Planctomycetes bacterium Pan181 tRNA-Arg". It matches the Rfam family "tRNA". From Rfam's summary of the family: Transfer RNA (tRNA) molecules are approximately 80 nucleotides in length. Their secondary structure includes four short double-helical elements and three loops (D, anti-codon, and T loops). Lineage: Bacteria; Pseudomonadati; Planctomycetota; Planctomycetia; Pirellulales; Lacipirellulaceae. The record is from RNAcentral.